Molecule: long non-coding RNA, 1312 nt
Organism: Catharus ustulatus (Swainson's thrush)
Lineage: Eukaryota; Metazoa; Chordata; Aves; Passeriformes; Turdidae
Exons: 2
Source: RefSeq, a predicted model, not a curated record
GCAAACGGAAGUGCGGUUUAUACUCCAGUGCGGCUUAUACUCCAGGGCGGCUUAGAUAUGGCCAAAAAACGAAAAGCUGCUGACACCCAAAAGUGCGGCUUAUAAUCAGGUGCCAGCACACCCAGAAGGAGCUGCUGGGCUGCACAACCAGGUCAAACUGUUUCCCAGCCACAACAGUUGGCAGUGGCAGCACAACUCAUUCUUGAGCACUUCAUGCAGAGGUAACCAAGAGGUUCAAAACACCCAUGGCACUGACUGAUAGUCACUGCAGGUCUUGCCGGGCCUGAGGGAUUUGUGUCUGGCCGAACUGCAAUUUUGAGACCUGAGUUCAGCGCUUUUGAGUACCACUGAAGUUUGUGAAGGAGAAGGAAAAUAAAGGAGGGUCCAUGAGGACAUGUGAGCUUGGCUUCAAGGUGCAGGUCUGUAUAGGCUUUGUAGAUAUUUCUGCAUCCACCACAAUUUAAUAAAGAAUCACCAAAAGUGAUUGCUAAUCAAUGACCAGAGGAAAUGGUCCUCAGCAAAUACACGUGGACCAAAACCAAGAGCUGAGGAAGACAUAAAAGAAAAGAAACAUAACAACCCUCACAUGUCCAAUUUGAAUUAAAAAUUAUUUUCAGAAUUCCCCAUCAGGGUCAAUACCUUGAUCCUUAUGUCUACUUCAGAAAAGACCAAUGUAUAUUAUAUACUACUUCACAUAGACCAAUGUAUAUUAUAUACUGCAGACAUAUGUCAGGCUGUGGUUUUGUCUAAUAACAUGUUUCAAAUGCCUUUAUUAAUACACAUAAGGGCAAGUCAGGAGGAAAGAUUUUUAAGCUGUUGCAGAAAGCUCUAGGAAAUAAAAUUGUAAGUAAACUUCUAAUUUUCAUGGUCUUGAUUUAUAAGAUAAUGUCUGUAACAAUAGCAAAACUCUGUGUGUGCCCAUGAACAUAAGAGUAUAAAUAAAUUAGAUUAGCAACAUCAUCUGUGAAGAAAAACCAUCUGCCUUUUAGACUUCCCUAUCUAGGUGGCAUAGUUUUAAAAUGAGUUCAUUUUUGAGAUACUGUAGUAGGUUUCCAGUAACAUGUUCUUCUCAUCCCACAUUUUCACUGCGUGCAGUUCUCAGUGACAUUCAGGGGAUCUAUCCAGUCUUCCCAAAAUUUCACUUCCACUUUCAUCACUUCUCUGCUGUGUGGUUGGCUUCCAAGGUCUCAGUCUUCUAUAAUUCAUUGAAACUUGUCCAGUGAGGCAUACCAUGUGUCUCAGGUGAACAGGCACUGUUUCCCCCAGAGUCUGUCAUCUUGGCUACAGCCCACAGGGCUGAGAACACUGUGGG